This 890-nucleotide ribosomal RNA is filed under the name uncultured Mucilaginibacter sp. RNAcentral describes it as "bacterial SSU rRNA". It matches the Rfam family "Bacterial small subunit ribosomal RNA", at positions 504 to 1398 of the family's 1533-position model. Lineage: Bacteria; Pseudomonadati; Bacteroidota; Sphingobacteriia; Sphingobacteriales; Sphingobacteriaceae. The record is from RNAcentral.
CGUGCCAGCAGCCGCGGUAAUACGGAGGAUCCAAGCGUUAUCCGGAUUUAUUGGGUUUAAAGGGUGCGUAGGCGGCCUAUUAAGUCAGGGGUGAAAGACGGUAGCUUAACUAUCGCAGUGCCUUUGAUACUGAUGGGCUUGAAUGGACUAGAGGUAGGCGGAAUGUGACAAGUAGCGGUGAAAUGCAUAGAUAUGUCACAGAACACCAAUUGCGAAGGCAGCUUACUAUGGUUUAAUUGACGCUGAGGCACGAAAGCGUGGGGAUCAAACAGGAUUAGAUACCCUGGUAGUCCACGCCCUAAACGAUGAACACUCGAUGUUAGCGAUAUACAGUUAGCGUCUAAGCGAAAGCGUUAAGUGUUCCACCUGGGGAGUACGCCCGCAAGGGUGAAACUCAAAGGAAUUGACGGGGGCCCGCACAAGCGGAGGAGCAUGUGGUUUAAUUCGAUGAUACGCGAGGAACCUUACCCGGGCUUGAAAGUUAGUGAAUGAUUCAGAGACGGAUCAGUCCUUCGGGACACGAAACUAGGUGCUGCAUGGCUGUCGUCAGCUCGUGCCGUGAGGUGUUGGGUUAAGUCCCGCAACGAGCGCAACCCCUAUGUUUAGUUGCCAGCAUUUAAGGUGGGGACUCUAAACAGACUGCCUACGCAAGUAGAGAGGAAGGAGGGGACGACGUCAAGUCAUCAUGGCCCUUACGUCCGGGGCUACACACGUGCUACAAUGGAUGGUACAGAGGGCAGCUACCUGGCAACAGGAUGCAAAUCUCUUAAAGCCAUUCACAGUUCGGAUCGGGGUCUGCAACUCGACCCCGUGAAGUUGGAUUCGCUAGUAAUCGCAUAUCAGCAAUGAUGCGGUGAAUACGUUCCCGGGCCUUGUACACACCGCCCGUC